This 244-nucleotide unclassified non-coding RNA is filed under the name uncultured fungus. RNAcentral describes it as "partial contains 5.8S ribosomal RNA, internal transcribed spacer 2, and large subunit ribosomal RNA". The stretch from base 1 to 52 matches the Rfam family "5.8S ribosomal RNA", at positions 103 to 154 of the family's 154-position model. The record is from RNAcentral. Lineage: Eukaryota; Fungi.
AACGCACAUUGCGCCCGCCAGUAUUCUGGCGGGCAUGCCUGUCCGAGCGUCAUUUCAACCAUCAAGCCCCGUGCUUGUGUUGGGGCCCCGCGGCUGCCGCGGGCCCUGAAAUGAAGUGGCGGGCUCGAAGUCGAACCGAGUGCAGUACACAUCCUCGCUUGACUAGACGACGAGUUCCGGCCGUAAAAAGCCCAACUUUCACAAGGUUGACCUCGGAUCAGGUAGGACUACCCGCUGAACUUAA